UCCCCCCAGAAUCCUUUGCGAAGAAAAAAAAAUUAGGAUUAAAAAACAAAAGGGGAAGGGGGUGGGACAGCGGCCAAUGGAGGCGCUGUCGAGCAAUGACGUCAUGGCUGCUUUUCAGUGGGCGGGCUGGAGGACGCCUCGGCAACAAGGUCACGUGCUCCUCGAAGAUUGACGCGCUCCCUCCACCAACCCCCCACCCCCACCCCACCGCAGGAAAACUGCCUCGACGCUUUCCCACUGCGACGGUGAUGUCAUUCCUGUUUAUCCUGCAGGGCUGAAAGCGUAGCGAGGCAGGGCGUUGCACAGGCUUCGGAGGGAAUAAAAAUGGUAAACCGGCCGCAUGGAGAAAAACAGGAUAAAGCCGGUUGCUACUUGGAGAAAAGAACAAAUGAAGAUAAACCUGACACUGGAAAUGUUAUGCAGAAAUAGAAUUUUGAAUUCAUCUAUCAAUUGAGUUAACAUGAACCAAGAAUAAUUGUAAAAAUUAGAACACAAAAAGACUAGCCCAGUCCAGUAUUAUGUUUACCCACUGUCUAAACAGAUGCUAAUAAAAAGUCCAGUCAGGACACAA
Molecule: long non-coding RNA, 571 nt
Organism: Anolis carolinensis (green anole)
Lineage: Eukaryota; Metazoa; Chordata; Lepidosauria; Squamata; Anolidae
Exons: 2
Source: RefSeq, a predicted model, not a curated record